AGAUACGGCCCAAACUCCUACGGGAGGCAGCAGCUAAGAAUCUUCCGCAAUGGACGAAAGUCUGACGGAGCGACGCCGUGUGAAUGAAGAAGGCCGAAAGGUUGUAAAAUUACUUUUGACAGUAUGAAGAAUAAGAAGAAGAGGGAAUGCUUCUUUGAUGACGGUAGUCAUGCGAAUAAGCCCCGGCUAAUUACGUGCCAGCAGCCGCGGUAA
This 213-nucleotide ribosomal RNA is filed under the name uncultured bacterium. Its description in RNAcentral is "partial 16S ribosomal RNA". It matches the Rfam family "Bacterial small subunit ribosomal RNA", at positions 322 to 523 of the family's 1533-position model. The record is from RNAcentral.